ACGACCUUACUUGAACAGGAUCUGUUCUAUAGGUUGUACAACUGUGUCCUUGAGUUCUAAGGAGACAAGAACUAAAGUCUGGUUGAUGAACCACUGCCCUGCGAUUAGAGCGUGAUUAACGGCUCAACGGACAUUAGUCCUGCGGCUGUGGAGGAUCGUUCUCGGUAGGGUAUCCUGCUGGGAUGGUCGCAUGGCGGUCUGACAGACU
Non-coding RNA from Cucurbita pepo subsp. pepo (vegetable marrow), 208 nucleotides. Lineage: Eukaryota; Viridiplantae; Streptophyta; Magnoliopsida; Cucurbitales; Cucurbitaceae. The record is from RefSeq and is a predicted model, not a curated record.